Molecule: long non-coding RNA, 3263 nt
Organism: Serinus canaria (Common canary)
Lineage: Eukaryota; Metazoa; Chordata; Aves; Passeriformes; Fringillidae
Source: Ensembl
GGAAUUCAGUGGAAGAAGCUCCAUAAUGGGUCCACCUGAAAACCACAGAGGAUAUUCAGUGCUAGAAUUGUUUCUUCUGCCAGAAGUGAGGGCAGAUCUCAGCUACGGAUCAAUUUUCAGAGAAAGCCCCAGCAUCAAUUACUUCUGACAUCCAUCUACCACCCUCUGCCCACUGACAGCCCCACAGGGCUUCAGAGACGCCAGCUGCCCUGUACACCACCUCAAAGGACAGCUCUGGGACUGGAACCAGAGAGUCUGACAGGGCACAUGCAGCCAUGCUGCCAUCAGACAGAUCUUUGGAGGAUUGCAGAGACCAGAAGACAUCCAGGAACUCUCCUCAGCUAACUCGGCAUGACUGGUGCUCUGUGGAAAAACCUCUAUUGCAUCACAGAGAAGAGAUGUAGCAGAGGCUGUAGCAGCCAUACAGCUGUCACAAAGUAUGAGAAGUUGAUCCUGUUGGAGUGCACUGUACCUCCCCUCAGAAUCUCAACUUUCCAAAAGUGGGAAUGGAAAGCUGUCACUUUGGUUUUCAUCUUGAGAGGGCAUUUUCUGUUUCUUCUGUUGAAGUCUGAGAUUUGUAACUUCUGUUUUCAGUAUCUUUGUAUGCUAAACUGAACAUAGUGGUUUCUCACACCAAAACUCAGGGGAAACCAUAAAAAUAUAAUGGCUUAUUUAACAAGCUGGAAAAAUCAACAGGUUUAGGUCUCUGGAUACAUUUCUAACCUUUUGACUUUUUUUUUUUUUAGCAAUGAUGGGUAAAAUUCUGUAUUGUGAGAAACAAAGAAAACUGGGUGUAGAAUUUUUUGUUAAGGGGCGUAUGAUUCAUAGAGGCCACAAGAGCUUUGCUUUAUUUGUGACCAAUUUCAGGGUUGUUGCUAAACUAAUUAUCUUAGCAAUACUGAAUAGAGAUUAAUAGGGGAACUCCGAGAAACAGAAAAGCAGAAAAGAACAAGACAUGUCAAAAUACCUGUGUUCAAACUGCUACGUCAGUUGGCCUGUGAGAAAAUAAUGGUACUACAGGUGUAAAGACUAAAAAGUGAUCAGGCUCAGCAUUUUUACUUAGAAACGUCAUAAAAUUCACAGUGAAAUUUGGUGAAUAUUGUUAAAAUGUUAACUUGAACACACAAAGUAUAGAAAAAAACAAUGGAAUGUUGUAAUGUCACACCUUUGUAAUUAUGUGAAAUGAGCUUACAAGAGCUCUCAACCAGACAGACUGCUAUAGGGUAUCUUCCAUUGGUGGUCUGUAUGAAUGGUUUGGACAGCAGCAUUGUGACUUCCUUUUCCAAAAUUUUAAUGAUUUCAUGAUAUAGAAGCCAACAGUGGAGAUCCAGCAAUGCACCCAACAGUAUAUGUGGCCUGGAUAGUAAUACCUUCCAGUAAAACAGGAUCACAGAUCUGACUGAAAGGGACUGCUUGGCUGUGAAAAGUUUUCCCCUGAAUUCCAACUCUGUUGCUCUUGUUUCAACCUGUGGAUGUUACCUCACUGUGUAGAGUCUGAUUCCAUCUUCCCAAGGCUGCCUCGCACGCCUACGCAAAAGACACUUCUGCUCCCAGCUGAGUCAGCUCCAGCUGCUCAGUCUCUUCCCAUAGCUGGAUCUGUUCUGAACCCAUGACAGUUUCCCAAUCUCUUUUGGCAUUGGCACCAUCUCAUAUCCAUCCUGAGGAUCUACAUCUAAGUAAGCUCAUCUUGCAUCUCAAGUUUGCAGAAACAAACUGGUAACCUCAAAGGACCUAUCACACAGAGCUAUUAUUGCACUGGCUGAACUAAUUUCUGACAGGACUUGUUUUCUCUCUUUAACUGAGGAGGAAACUCCUACCAAACAACCACAUUUCCUCAGCCAAGUGAGAUUACAGAAAGUUCAACCAGUGUCACCCUUUUUAUUCCCUUUGAAUUAAUUUUUCAAAAGAUUUGCAAAAAAGGAAAGACGGGAAAAUCAGUUCUAGGAAGUGGGUCACUAUAUGAUGCUUGUCUGUGAGUAGAUAUUUGCUGAGAUUGACAAAAAAUGACAGUAGUCAGCAAGUUUUUUGUUUACACUCUGUAAUCUUGCUAUCUGCAAUGGUUUGACUUUCACAGAGCUGAGGAAGUUUCCUAUUUUAACAGUAGUUUUCUGGGUUUCAUACUAAUAUGACAAAAAAUAACUGGUUUUACAAGACUUCUCUUUUUCCCUAAUUUUUGUUUUGACAAAGAUGCUGGAGUAUGCCAGUGCAGUUUGAUUUGCCAAAGUACCUCCUGAUGUCAGUAACAGAAGCAAAAAGGGCUCCUCUCAUUUACUCUGGUAGGCAUUGCUGAACAUUACACUGAUUCACUGGAUUCAGUAGAAUGAACCAAGACAACAGGGUGAAUAGUUAAAGCAAACAAUUUGUAAAUAACCCACUUACUGAAAAUUCAAAAAUUCAGAUUCGUCCAAGUAACUCCAGCAAACAUGAACCACUAACACACUGCCCAAAAACCAGGAAUAACUUCCAGCUAAAAAAAGAAAAACAAAAAAAAAAAGCACUUAAUUAGCAGGAAAGAAUUUGCUCAGCCUUAAAAUUUACAUUAAGUUCUAUAAGGCAAAACUGCUACACUUUGUUCAGUUUGAGGAUUCCAUAAAAAUUCUCAGCAAAAGUUUAUCUCCAACCCUGAUAAUCCUUCUUUCUUAUUUCAUAAUCUCCACCUAGUGGGAGUAUCAUAUUUUGUCAAAAUUUUAAAAUCAUUGGCACUUAUUAUUCAAAGAUCCCAUACCAAUAUUCUUCCCGUACAACAUUUUUGCAUAUUGAAAGUUUUAUAGAUUUUGCUUAUAAUAUCAUAGGUCAAACUCAAAAAUACAUUUAAGAAUUAAAAGUAUGAGUCCCUUUUUUUUCUUUUAAGAAAUUGUCUAAAUCAAUUGCUCACUUACCUACAAAGUCAAAAUUACAAUGCUAUAUGAAAAUGUUUUGAUGUUGAGGUCUUGAGCUUACUCCUGCCUGAUACACUUGCUUGGUGGGGAAUAUGACUUCACUAGAAAUCAGCCCUUGAUCACUGCAUUUUGCAUCUUAUCUUUGCAGGAGAGCUGCCUUUGAACUCACAUACUCAUACAGAGGAAGAUUUAAUGAUACACAGCACUUGCAAGUGACUUAAUUACAUGGGAGCCCAGAACAGUUUUUUGUGGUUCAAGGAUAAAACUAUAAAUUAACUCUUUGAACAAAAAUCCCCAAGUGGUUUAACCACAUUAUAAAGCAGGCACAUUUGGCUAAAGAAUCAAACCCAUACAAAUAAAUAAUUAUAUAUGUAUGUUUGAGCA